This 434-nucleotide ribosomal RNA is filed under the name uncultured bacterium. Its description in RNAcentral is "bacterial SSU rRNA". It matches the Rfam family "Bacterial small subunit ribosomal RNA", at positions 29 to 508 of the family's 1533-position model. The record is from RNAcentral.
AACGAACGCUGGCGGCAUGCCUAACACAUGCAAGUCGAACGAGACCUUCGGGUCUAGUGGCGCACGGGUGCGUAACGCGUGGGAAUCUGCCCUUAGGUUCGGAAUAACAGUUAGAAAUGACUGCUAAUACCGGAUAAUGACGUAAGUCCAAAGAUUUAUCGCCUAGGGAUGAGCCCGCGUAAGAUUAGCUAGUUGGUGGGGUAAAGGCCUACCAAGGCUACGAUCUUUAGCUGGUCUGAGAGGAUGAUCAGCCACACUGGGACUGAGACACGGCCCAGACUCCUACGGGAGGCAGCAGUGGGGAAUAUUGGACAAUGGGCGAAAGCCUGAUCCAGCAAUGCCGCGUGAGUGAUGAAGGCCUUAGGGUUGUAAAGCUCUUUUACCCGGGAUGAUAAUGACAGUACCGGGAGAAUAAGCUCCGGCUAACUCCGUGC